CGCAGGGUCCCGGGCUGCGCGUGCGCGGUGCGAGUCGGCGGUGCCACUUUUGUAGUUGGCAGGCGUUGCGUUGCGUCGCUGUAGCUGUGUUCCGUAGGGAGUUCCUCAUGUUGUGGUGACCGCCAACCAUAAAAUUAUUUUGUUGCAAGGCUGGAGAGAUGGCUCGGCAGUUAAGAGCACUGACUGUUCUUCCAGAGGUCCGGAGUUCAAUUCCCAGCAACCACAUGGUGGCUAACAACCACCUUGAAUGAGAUUUGGUGCCUUCUGCUGGCAUGCAGGCAGCAGAAGACUGUAUACAUAAUAAAUAAAAUCUUUUUUAAAAAACUAUUUUGCGGCUACUUCAUAGCUGUAAUUGUUUUUGUUUGUUUUUCGAGACAGGGUUUCUCUAUGUAGCUUUGGAGGCUGUCCUGGAACUCACUCUGGAGACCAGGCUGGCCUCGAACUCCCAGAGAUCCGCCUGCCUCUACCUCCCGAGUUCUGGAA
This 483-nucleotide long non-coding RNA is filed under the name Cricetulus griseus (Chinese hamster). RNAcentral's name for it is "lncRNA (ENSCGRG00015040536.1)". The record is from RNAcentral. Lineage: Eukaryota; Metazoa; Chordata; Mammalia; Rodentia; Cricetidae.